This 449-nucleotide unclassified non-coding RNA is filed under the name Cyperus haspan. RNAcentral describes it as "partial external transcribed spacer 1f". The record is from RNAcentral. Lineage: Eukaryota; Viridiplantae; Streptophyta; Magnoliopsida; Poales; Cyperaceae.
UUUUUGACUUNNUNUGCAUGGCAGGCUCCCCGCACUUAUGUGCGGCCAACUGUCAUGGGGCGGUCUGUUCACUWAUCCUUUGAUUGGCAUUAUUGCUGUCUUGGGAUGCUUGCUGCUGGUUGCCUGUAUGGUUCUACCAUUUGAGGUAUUACGAUUGUCAAGCUCGUGUAUGCUAAGCUUGCUCAAUUGAUGUUGUUUCUGDGGNNNCGCAUGAGUUGUUAGCAAAUUUCUUGUGUUUCCAUGCGUUUGUCCCUUGGAGUNGCAUUUAGAUUUUUGUUGGUUUUCACGGAUAUUGUGCCUGUUUUGAGGUUUGCGGGCUUCGAGCUUUGUAGACCUUGUUGGGUUGCCCGUGCACAUAUCAUAGCCUCUAAUACAGUCUUUGAUUAUGUGCUUGUGGCGUGCCUACGUGACCGAGUGACUUGCGAAUGCCAGUUUUUGUUGUMAUAUGG